GCCCCGGUAGCUCAGCGGGAGAGCGUCGGCUCGACAAGCCGAAGGCCGCUGGUUCGACACCAGCUCGGGGCA
Molecule: transfer RNA, 72 nt
Filed under: Micromonospora zamorensis
Lineage: Bacteria; Bacillati; Actinomycetota; Actinomycetes; Micromonosporales; Micromonosporaceae
Also listed under: 9 other names
Description: tRNA-Val
Rfam family: tRNA
About the family: Transfer RNA (tRNA) molecules are approximately 80 nucleotides in length. Their secondary structure includes four short double-helical elements and three loops (D, anti-codon, and T loops). Further hydrogen bonds mediate the characteristic L-shaped molecular structure. tRNAs have two regions of fundamental functional importance: the anti-codon, which is responsible for specific mRNA codon recognition, and the 3' end, to which the tRNAs corresponding amino acid is attached (by aminoacyl-tRNA synthetases). tRNAs cope with the degeneracy of the genetic code in two manners: having more than one tRNA (with a specific anti-codon) for a particular amino acid; and 'wobble' base-pairing, i.e. permitting non-standard base-pairing at the 3rd anti-codon position.
Source: RNAcentral